AGAGUUUGAUCCUGGCUCAGAACGAACGCUGGCGGCGUGCCUAACGCAUGCAAGUCGAGCGGAUGAGUGGAGCUUGCUCCAUGAUUCAGCGGCGGACGGGUGAGUAAUGCCUAGGAAUCUGCCUGGUAGUGGGGGACAACGUUUCGAAAGGAACGCUAAUACCGCAUACGUCCUACGGGAGAAAGUGGGGGAUCUUCGGACCUCACGCUAUCAGAUGAGCCUAGGUCGGAUUAGCUAGUUGGCGAGGUAAAGGCUCACCAAGGCGACGAUCCGUAACUGGUCUGAGAGGAUGAUCAGUCACACUGGAACUGAGACACGGUCCAGACUCCUACGGGAGGCAGCAGUGGGGAAUAUUGGACAAUGGGCGAAAGCCUGAUCCAGCCAUGCCGCGUGUGUGAAGAAGGUCUUCGGAUUGUAAAGCACUUUAAGUUGGGAGGAAGGGCAGUAAGCUAAUACCUUGCUGUUUUGACGUUACCGACAGAAUAAGCACCGGCUAACUUCGUGCCAGCAGCCGCGGUAAUA
Molecule: ribosomal RNA, 522 nt
Filed under: uncultured bacterium
Lineage: Bacteria
Description: bacterial SSU rRNA
Rfam family: Bacterial small subunit ribosomal RNA
Source: RNAcentral